Molecule: ribosomal RNA, 513 nt
Filed under: uncultured bacterium
Lineage: Bacteria
Description: bacterial SSU rRNA
Rfam family: Bacterial small subunit ribosomal RNA
Source: RNAcentral
UUUAGAGUUUGAUCCAUGGCUCAGAACGAACGCUGGCGGCGUGCUUAACACAUGCAAGUCGAGCGAGAAAGUCUCCGCAAGGGGAUGAGUACAGCGGCGAACGGGUGAGUAACACGUGGGCAACCUGCCCUUCAGUCAGGAAUAACCCCGCGAAAGCGGGGCUAAUACCAGAUGAUGUUCCUUAGGGGCAUCCCUGAGAAAUCAAAGGGGGCGAGCGCAAGCGGCUCUCACUGAAGGAUGGGCCUGCGGCUGAUUAGCUAGUUGGUGGGGUAACGGCCUACCAAGGCGACGAUCAGUAGCCGACCUGAGAGGGUGACCGGCCNCACUGGGACUGAGACACGGCCCAGACUCCUACGGGAGGCAGCAGUGGGGAAUAUUGCGCAAUGGGCGAAAGCCUGACGCAGCGACGCCGCGACUGGUGAUGAAGGCCUUCGGGUCGUAAAACCCUGUCGGGGGAACGAAUCCCCCCCCCGCAAAUAGCGGUUGGAAUGACGANGCACCGAAGAAGCCCCG